GUUGUGGCUCAGUGGUAUAGUGCUUGCCUAGCACAUGCGGGAUGCUGGGUUCAAUCCUCAGCACAACA
This 68-nucleotide transfer RNA is filed under the name Marmota monax (woodchuck). Its description in RNAcentral is "tRNA.Ala". The record is from RNAcentral. Lineage: Eukaryota; Metazoa; Chordata; Mammalia; Rodentia; Sciuridae.